GAUGAAGAACGCAGCGAAAUGCGAUAAGUAAUGCGAAUUGCAGAAUUCCAGUGAGUCAUCGAAUCUUUGGACGCACAUUGCGCCCUUUGGUAUUCCGAAGGGCAUGCCUGUUCGAGCGUCAUUAUCACCCCUCAAGCCCUCGGCUUGGUGUUGGACGGUUUGGUGGAGGCCCCCUCGGGGGCUCCUGCCCCUCCCAAAGACAAUGACGGCGGCCUCGUUGGACCCCCGGUACACUGAGUUCUUCACGGGACACGUAUCGGACACAUGGGUUUACGGGACACGGUCUGCCUCCCCUCAGGGAGAAUCUUUCUAAGGUUGACCUCGGAUCAGGUAGGGAUACCCGCUGAACUUAAGCAUAUCAAUAAGCGGAGGA
This 373-nucleotide unclassified non-coding RNA is filed under the name soil metagenome. Its description in RNAcentral is "partial contains 5.8S ribosomal RNA, internal transcribed spacer 2, and large subunit ribosomal RNA". The stretch from base 1 to 121 matches the Rfam family "5.8S ribosomal RNA", at positions 35 to 154 of the family's 154-position model. The record is from RNAcentral.